GUGCUUGCUUCAAAAGCACAUAUACUAAAAUUGGAAUGACACAGAGAAGAUUAGCAUGGCCCCUGGGGGGAAAAAAAGUAGACCAUUUUAU
This 91-nucleotide small nuclear RNA is filed under the name Prolemur simus (greater bamboo lemur). Lineage: Eukaryota; Metazoa; Chordata; Mammalia; Primates; Lemuridae. The record is from RNAcentral.